Long non-coding RNA from Salvelinus fontinalis (brook trout), 587 nucleotides. RefSeq lists it as uncharacterized. The transcript is spliced from 3 exons. The record is from RefSeq and is a predicted model, not a curated record. Lineage: Eukaryota; Metazoa; Chordata; Actinopteri; Salmoniformes; Salmonidae.
ACUACAUCAUGUGUCAUCUUGACUACAUCAUGUGUCAACCACUCACUUACUUCUCAUUUUCAUACUGCCAGUGAGUUGUUUUACAAAACCUCUCCACUUUUCUCUACUACAGGGUGGGUGAUGCAACAAUGGCCUUGAGAACAGCAGGAAGUGUGUUGGUGGUCUUUCUCUGGUCUGUGGCAGCAAAUACAGCAACAAGGUGUGGACAACAAAGCCAGGUGAUGGUCUCUCCCACCAAUGCAGUGAAGGGACAGGAGGUGACACUGACCUGUAGCAACACCUGUACUCUGAGUGACAACACCAACCCCACCUACAUCUGGUACAAGAACGGACAACGUCUCGAUGAGCCUACUUCCCAACAAUACUCCUGUAAUACUCUGGUGGUCUGGUGUUACUCUGCAGACAGUUACUCCUGUGCUGUAAAAGACCAUGAGGAUUUUCUCGCUCCUACAGUGUGUGAGUCUGAACUCACCUAUAAUAAUCAUCUUAAGUAUCAAUCAUUAAGGCCUGUGGACCAAUAGUAGAACAUGUGGGGAAAAACAGACAAAUCUGUGCACUCUUGGAUAAUAACACCAGUAAAAAAAGUA